AGGUCGUUUUGAGGGUAGUUUCUUAUCAAACCCUUGUAUCUCUCCCACGCCUCAUAGAGUGAUUCCCCUGGAAUUUGUUCAAAGUUGCCAAUGGCUUUCUUCAAUUU
This is a small nucleolar RNA of Lactuca sativa (garden lettuce), 107 nucleotides long. The record is from RefSeq and is a predicted model, not a curated record. NCBI's taxonomy places the organism in Eukaryota, Viridiplantae, Streptophyta, Magnoliopsida, Asterales, Asteraceae.